GGGGGUAUAGUUCAACUGGCAAAACUGCGAUUUUGCGUAUCGUUAUUACGGGUUCAAGUCCUGUUACCUCCA
This 72-nucleotide transfer RNA is filed under the name Arthonia cupressina. RNAcentral's name for it is "tRNA-Ala". It matches the Rfam family "tRNA". Rfam says of the family: Transfer RNA (tRNA) molecules are approximately 80 nucleotides in length. Their secondary structure includes four short double-helical elements and three loops (D, anti-codon, and T loops). The record is from RNAcentral. Lineage: Eukaryota; Fungi; Ascomycota; Arthoniomycetes; Arthoniales; Arthoniaceae.